AUGCCUUACACAUGCAAGUCGAACGGCAGCAUGAUCUAGCUUGCUAGAUUGAUGGCGAGUGGCGAACGGGUGAGUAAUAGAUCGGAACGUGCCCUGUAGUGGGGGAUAACUAGUCGAAAGAUUAGCUAAUACCGCAUACGACCUGAGGGUGAAAGUGGGGGACCGCAAGGCCUCAUGCUAUAGGAGCGGCCGAUGUCUGAUUAGCUAGUUGGUGGGGUAAAGGCCCACCAAGGGGACGAUCAGUAGCUGGUCUGAGAGGACGAUCAGCCACACUGCGACUGAGACACGGCCCAGACUCNUACGGGAGGCAGCAGUGGGGAAUUUUGGACAAUGGGGGCAACCCUGAUCCAGCAAUGCCGCGUGUGUGAAGAAGGCCUUCGGGUUGUAAAGCACUUUUGUCCGGAAAGAAAUCGCACUUACUAAUAUUAGGUGUGGAUGACGGUACCGGAAGAAUAAGGACCGGCUAACUACGUGCCAGCAGCCGCGGUAAUACGUAGGGUCCAAGCGUUAAUCGGAAUUACUGGGCGUAAAGCGUGCGCAGGCGGUUGUGCAAGACCGAUGUGAAAUCCCCGGGCUUAACCUGGGAAUUGCAUUGGUGACUGCACGGCUAGAGUGUGUCAGAGGGGGGUAGAAUUCCACGUGUAGCAGUGAAAUGCGUAGAGAUGUGGAGGAAUACCGAUGGCGAAGGCAGCCCCCUGGGAUAACACUGACGCUCAUGCACGAAAGCGUGGGGAGCAAACAGGAUUAUAUACCC
Molecule: ribosomal RNA, 754 nt
Filed under: uncultured bacterium
Lineage: Bacteria
Description: bacterial SSU rRNA
Rfam family: Bacterial small subunit ribosomal RNA
Source: RNAcentral